Molecule: ribosomal RNA, 118 nt
Filed under: Pteropus alecto (black flying fox)
Lineage: Eukaryota; Metazoa; Chordata; Mammalia; Chiroptera; Pteropodidae
Source: RNAcentral
GUCUACGGCCAUGCCACCCUGAACUACCCGAUCCCGUCUGAUCUCGGAAGCUAAGCAGGGUCGGGCCUGGUUCAUACUUGAAUGGGAGACCACCUAGGAAGACCAGGUGCUGCAGGUG